GUUGAACGCUGGCGGCAGGCCUAACACAUGCAAGUCGAACGAGCGGCGGACGGGUGCGUAAUGUCUGGGAAACUGCCUGAUAGCGGGGGAUAACUACUGGAAACGGUAGGUAAUACCGCAUACCAUCCGAUUUGCCCAGAUGGGAUUAGCUAGUAGGUGGGGUAACGGCUCACCUAGGCGACGAUCCCUAGCUGGUCUGAGAGGAUGACCAGCCACACGGGGACUGAGACACGGCCCAGACUCCUACGGGAGGCAGCAGUGGGGAAUAUUGCACAAUGGGCGCAAGCCUGAUGCAGCCACGCCGCGUGUAUGAAGAAGGCCUUCGGGUUGUAAAGUACUUUCAGCGAGGAGGCGUUACUCGCAGAAGAAGCAACGGCUAACUACGUGCCAGCAGCCGCGGUAAUAC
This 406-nucleotide ribosomal RNA is filed under the name uncultured bacterium. RNAcentral describes it as "partial 16S ribosomal RNA". It matches the Rfam family "Bacterial small subunit ribosomal RNA", at positions 28 to 526 of the family's 1533-position model. The record is from RNAcentral.